GACGAACGCUGGCGGCGUGCUUAACACAUGCAAGUCGAACGGAAAGGCCCUGCUUUUGUGGGGUGCUCGAGUGGCGAACGGGUGAGUAACACGUGAGUAACCUGCCCUUGACUUUGGGAUAACUUCAGGUAACUGGGGCUAAUACCGGAUAGGAGCUCCUGCUGCAUGGUGGGGGUUGGAAAGUUUCGGCGUUUGGGGAUGGACUCGCGGCUUAUCAGCUUGUUGGUGGGGUAGUGGCUUACCAAGGCUUUGACGGGUAGACGGCCUGAGAGGGUGACCGGCCACAUUGGGACUGAGAGACGGCCCAGACGCCUACGGGAGGAAGCAGUGGGGAAUAUUGCACAAGGGGCGGCAGCCUGAUGCAGCAACGCCGCGGGCGGGAUGACGGCCUUCGGGUUGAAAACCGCUUUCGGCUGUGACGAAGCGUGAGUGACGGUAAUGGGUAAAGAAGCACCGGCUAAAUACGUGC
Molecule: ribosomal RNA, 469 nt
Filed under: uncultured bacterium
Lineage: Bacteria
Description: partial 16S ribosomal RNA
Rfam family: Bacterial small subunit ribosomal RNA
Source: RNAcentral